CCUACGGGAGGCAGCAGUGGGGAAUUUUGGACAAUGGACGCAAGUCUGAUCCAGCCAUUCCGCGUGCAGGAUGAAGGCCCUCGGGUUGUAAACUGCUUUUGUACAGAACGAAAAGGUCUCUCUUAAUACGGGGGGCUCAUGACGGUACCGUAAGAAUAAGCACCGGCUAACUACGUGCCAGCAGCCGCGGUAAUACGUAGGGUGCAAGCGUUAAUCGGAAUUACUGGGCGUAAAGCGUGCGCAGGCGGUUAUAUAAGACAGAUGUGAAAUCCCCGGGCUCAACCUGGGAACUGCAUUUGUGACUGUAUAGCUAGAGUACGGUAGAGGGGGAUGGAAUUCCGCGUGUAGCAGUGAAAUGCGUAGAUAUGCGGAGGAACACCGAUGGCGAAGGCAAUCCCCUGGACCUGUACUGACGCUCAUGCACGAAAGCGUGGGGAGCA
This 440-nucleotide ribosomal RNA is filed under the name Limnohabitans parvus. Its description in RNAcentral is "bacterial SSU rRNA". It matches the Rfam family "Bacterial small subunit ribosomal RNA", at positions 338 to 770 of the family's 1533-position model. The record is from RNAcentral. Lineage: Bacteria; Pseudomonadati; Pseudomonadota; Betaproteobacteria; Burkholderiales; Comamonadaceae.